AGUGAACGCUGGCGGUAGGCCUAACACAUGCAAGUCGAACGGCAGCACAGUAAGAGCUUGCUCUUACGGGUGGCGAGUGGCGGACGGGUGAGGAAUACAUCGGAAUCUACUUUUUCGUGGGGGAUAACGUAGGGAAACUUACGCUAAUACCGCAUACGACCUACGGGUGAAAGCAGGGGAUCUUCGGACCUUGCGUGAUUGAUUGAGCCGAUGGCGGAUUAGCUAGUUGGCGAGGUAAAGGCCCACCAAGGCGACGAUCCGUAGCUGGUCUGAGAGGAUGAUCAGCCACACUGGAACUGAGACACGGUCCAGACUCCUACGGGAGGCAGCAGUGGGGAAUAUUGGACAAUGGGCGCAAGCCUGAUCCAGCCAUACCGCGUGGGUGAAGAAGGCCUUCGGGUUGUAAAGCCCUUUUGUUGGGAAAGAAAAGCAGCAGGUUAAUACCCCGCUGUUCUGACGGUACCCAAAGAAUAAGCACCGGCUAACUUCGUG
This 492-nucleotide ribosomal RNA is filed under the name uncultured bacterium. Its description in RNAcentral is "partial 16S ribosomal RNA". It matches the Rfam family "Bacterial small subunit ribosomal RNA", at positions 29 to 507 of the family's 1533-position model. The record is from RNAcentral.